RNAcentral lists this non-coding RNA (179 nucleotides) under Alkaliphilus oremlandii OhILAs. Lineage: Bacteria; Bacillati; Bacillota; Clostridia; Peptostreptococcales; Natronincolaceae. The record is from RNAcentral. RNAcentral also lists the same sequence under 1 other name.
CAAAUGAAUACAUUUUAUGGUUCUUUCUUAUGAAAGCUAAGAGGGAAAGAGGUGAGAAACCUCUGCAGCCCCCGCUACUGUAAGCAGGACGAAAUUCCAAUAAACCACUGUGUAAAUGGGAAGGUAGGAAGAGUAGGAAGAGUGCAAGCCAGGAGACCUGCCAUAAAACGUGAAUGAAG